UUUGCAUAAAAACAAAAUUUUACUUUAAAACUUUCAACAACGGAUCUCUUGGUUCUGGCAUCGAUGAAGAACGCAGCGAAAUGCGAUAAGUAAUGUGAAUUGCAGAAUUCAGUGAAUCAUCGAAUCUUUGAACGCACAUUGCGCCCAUUAGUAUUCUAGUGGGCAUGCCUAUUCGAGCGUCAUAA
This 185-nucleotide ribosomal RNA is filed under the name Xylariaceae sp. BCC 20844. RNAcentral's name for it is "5.8S rRNA". The stretch from base 29 to 182 matches the Rfam family "5.8S ribosomal RNA". Rfam says of the family: 5.8S ribosomal RNA (5.8S rRNA) is a component of the large subunit of the eukaryotic ribosome. Lineage: Eukaryota; Fungi; Ascomycota; Sordariomycetes; Xylariales; Xylariaceae. The record is from RNAcentral.